GGUAAUCAAACUUCAUGUGGUUGGUUACCAAAUCAUUUGAUAAGGUAACCAAUUCAGUUUUAUUAGCUUACUAAUAUAUUUUGAUUGUUCUGCAGUUGGUAACCAAAAUUUAUGCAGUUGGUUACUAAACCUUCCGAUAAGGUAACCAAUUUAGUUUUAUUAGGUUACUAAUUUAUUUUGGAUGUGAUGCAGUUGGUAAUCAAACUUCAUGUAGUUGGUUACCAAAUCAUUUGAUAAGGUAACCAAUUCAGUUUUAUUAGCUUACUAAUAUAUUUUGAAUGUGAUGCAGUUGGUAAUCAAAAUUUAUGCAAUUGGUUACUAAACCUUCCGAUAAGGUAACCAAUUUAGUUUUAUUAGGUUACUAAUUUAUUUUAGAUGUGAUGCAGUUGGUAACCAAAUUUCAUAUAGUUGGUUACCAAACCAUUUGAUAAGGUAACCAAUUCAGUUUUAUUUGAUUACCAAUUUUAUUUUAAAUGUGAUGCAGUUACUAGUCAAAAUUCGUAUAAAGGUAACCAUUUCAAUUUUUGUGGGUAACCAAAUCGUCAAAAGAAAUUCAGAAUAGCAACUCCGGUGGCGGCGGCGAUGUGGCGGCGGCAGCGGUGGCGGCGAGAGAGGAGGAUGAUGAACAUUAGCUCCUUCAUAAUUUUUAAUUUUUAAU
RNAcentral lists this long non-coding RNA (658 nucleotides) under Panax ginseng (ginseng). Its description in RNAcentral is "long non-coding RNA (PGIN_LNC007654)". The record is from RNAcentral. Lineage: Eukaryota; Viridiplantae; Streptophyta; Magnoliopsida; Apiales; Araliaceae.